This 72-nucleotide transfer RNA is filed under the name Lepilemur ruficaudatus (red-tailed sportive lemur). RNAcentral describes it as "tRNA-Ile". The record is from RNAcentral. Lineage: Eukaryota; Metazoa; Chordata; Mammalia; Primates; Lepilemuridae.
AGAAAUAUGUCUGAUAAAAAGAGUUACUUUGAUAGAGUAAAUAAUGGAGGUUUUAACCCCCUCCUAUUUCUA